This 254-nucleotide ribosomal RNA is filed under the name uncultured bacterium. RNAcentral describes it as "partial 16S ribosomal RNA". It matches the Rfam family "Bacterial small subunit ribosomal RNA", at positions 524 to 776 of the family's 1533-position model. The record is from RNAcentral.
UACGAAGGGGGGCUAGCGUUGCUCGGAAUUACUGGGCGUAAAGGGAGCGUAGGCGGGUUAUCAAGUUGGAGGUGAAAGCCCAGGGCUCAACCUUGGAAUUGCCUUCAAAACUGAUAACCUAGAGGAUGAUAGAGGUAAGUGGAACUCCGAGUGUAGAGGUGAAAUUCGUAGAUAUUCGGAAGAACACCAGUGGCGAAGGCGACUUACUGGAUCAUUACUGACGCUGAGGCUCGAAAGCGUGGGGAGCAAACAGG